GACGAACGCUGGCGGCGUGCUUAACACAUGCAAGUCGAACGGAAAGGCCCUGCUUUUGUGGGGUGCUCGAGUGGCGAACGGGUGAGUAACACGUGAGUAACCUGCCCUUGACUUUGGGAUAACUUCAGGAAACUGGGGCUAAUACCGGAUAGGAGCUCCUGCUGCAUGGUGGGGGUUGGAAAGUUUCGGCGGUUGGGGAUGGACUCGCGGCUUAUCAGCUUGUUGGUGGGGUAGUGGCUUACCAAGGCUUUGACGGGUAGCCGGCCUGAGAGGGUGACCGGCCACAUUGGGACUGAGAUACGACCCAGACUCCUACGGGAGGCAGCAGUGGGGAAUAUUGCACAAUGGGCGGAAGCCUGAUGCAGCAACGCCGCGUGCGGGAUGACGGCCUGCGGGUUGUAAACCGCUUUCGCCUGUGACGAAGCGUGAGUGACGGUAAUGGGUAAAGAAGCACCGGCUAACUACGUG
RNAcentral lists this ribosomal RNA (468 nucleotides) under uncultured bacterium. RNAcentral's name for it is "partial 16S ribosomal RNA". It matches the Rfam family "Bacterial small subunit ribosomal RNA", at positions 28 to 507 of the family's 1533-position model. The record is from RNAcentral.